ACUACGGUGUGCUGCAGUGAGGAAUAUUGGUCAAUGGGCGCGAGCCUGAACCAGCCAAGUAGCGUGAAGGAUGACUGCCCUACGGGUUGUAAACUUCUUUUAUAAAGGAAUAAAGUGGGGCACGUGUGCCUUUUUGUAUGUACUUUAUGAAUAAGGAUCGGCUAACUCCGUGCCAGCAGCCGCGGUAAUACGGAGGAUCCGAGCGUUAUCCGGAUUUAUUGGGUUUAAAGGGAGCGUAGAUGGGUUGUUAAGUCAGUUGUGAAAGUUUGCGGCUCAACCGUAAAAUUGCAAUUGAUACUGGCAGCCUUGAGUACAGUUGAGGUAGGCGGAAUUCGUGGUGUAGCGGUGAAAUGCUUAGAUAUCACGAAGAACUCCGAUUGCGAAGGCAGCUUACUAAACUGCCACUGACAUUGAUGCUCGAAAGUGUGGGUAUCAAACAGGAUUAGAUACCCUUGUAGUC
RNAcentral lists this ribosomal RNA (460 nucleotides) under uncultured bacterium. RNAcentral describes it as "partial 16S ribosomal RNA". It matches the Rfam family "Bacterial small subunit ribosomal RNA", at positions 338 to 795 of the family's 1533-position model. The record is from RNAcentral.